AGAGUUUGAUUAUGGCUCAGGAUGAACGCUGGCGGCGUGCCUAACACAUGCAAGUCGAGCGGAGAUAAGUUGAAGCCUAGCGAUUCUUAUCUUAGCGGCGGAUGGGUGAGUAACACGUGGGUAACCUGCCCUGUACUGGGGGAUAACAGCUGGAAACGGCUGUUAAUACCGCAUAUGCGCACGGAGCCGCAUGGCCCUGGGCGGAAAGAUUCAUCGGUACAGGAUGGGCCCGCGCCGGAUUAACUUGUUGGCGGGGUAACGGCCCACCAAGGUGAUGAUCCGUAGCCGACCUGAGAGGGUGACCGGCCACAUUGGGACUGAGACACGGCCCAAACUCCUACGGGAGGCAGCAGUGGGGGAUAUUGCACAAUGGGGGAAACCCUGAAUGCAGCGACGCCGCGUGAAGGAAGAAGUAUUUCGGUAUGUAAACUUCUAUCAGCGGGGAAGAAGAUGACGGUACCCGCACAAGAAGCCCCGGCUAACUACGUGCCAGCAGCCGC
This 500-nucleotide ribosomal RNA is filed under the name uncultured bacterium. RNAcentral's name for it is "bacterial SSU rRNA". It matches the Rfam family "Bacterial small subunit ribosomal RNA", at positions 8 to 518 of the family's 1533-position model. The record is from RNAcentral.